GAUGAACGCUGGCGGCGUGCCUAAUACAUGCAAGUCGAGCGAACAGACGAGGACUUUGCUCCUCUGACUAUCGCGGCGCGCGUGUGAGUAACAUGUGGAACACCUCUCUAUGAGACUGAGAUCACUUCGGGAACCCGGCGAUAACACCGGAAAAUAUAUUGAAUCGCAUGGUUCAACAGUGAAAGACGGUUUUCCUGUAACUUCUAGAUGGAUCCGCGCCGCAUUAGCUAGUUGGUAAGGUAACGGCUUACCAAGGCAACGAUGCGUAGCCGACCUGAGAGGGUGAUCGGCCACACUGGAACUGAGACACGGUCCAGACUCCUACGGGAGGCAGCAGUAGGGAAUCUUCCGCAAUGGGCGAAAGCCUGACGGAGCAACGCCGCGUGAGUGAUGAAGGUCUUCGGAUCGUAAAACUCUGUUAUUAGGGAAGAACAAAUGUGUAAGUAACUAUGCACGUCUUGACGGUACCUAAUCAGAAAGCCACGGCUAACUACGUG
This 497-nucleotide ribosomal RNA is filed under the name uncultured bacterium. Its description in RNAcentral is "partial 16S ribosomal RNA". It matches the Rfam family "Bacterial small subunit ribosomal RNA", at positions 28 to 507 of the family's 1533-position model. The record is from RNAcentral.